RNAcentral lists this ribosomal RNA (236 nucleotides) under Theileria mutans. RNAcentral describes it as "partial small subunit ribosomal RNA". It matches the Rfam family "Eukaryotic small subunit ribosomal RNA", at positions 447 to 685 of the family's 1831-position model. Lineage: Eukaryota; Apicomplexa; Aconoidasida; Piroplasmida; Theileriidae. The record is from RNAcentral.
AUGAGUGACACAGGGAGGUAGUGACAAGAAAUAACAAUACGGGGCUCAACGCCUUGUAAUUGGAAUGAUGGGAACCUAAACCCCUUCCAGAGUAUCAAUUGGAGGGCAAGUCUGGCGCCAGCAGCCGCGGUAAUUCCAGCUCCAAUAGCGUAUAUUAAAAUUGUUUCAGUUAAAAAGCUUGUAGUUGAAUUUCUGCCGCAUCGCGGCGGCCUUCCCGAGCCUCGGUCGUUCGGGUU